UGCCCUUGGAUCAACCCUCAAACGUACAAAACUGGGACACUUCCGACUCAGUUCACACUCGUCCGAACAUUAACUACGACAGGUCCGAAAGCCGGCCAGGGAACGCUGACAGAAACAAAGGAGGCGGAGUGACAGAAUUUUGAGUCCACUAUGGUGACCAAAACAGAGGAGACACAGUUGAAUAGGCUUGAGAGUCAGUUGGAGCAUGGAGGAGGUGGCGCUUGGGAUUAUCUCUGUUUGGUCAGGAAGCUCAAGGUUAGGCGUUCUGAAAAGGUCUUGAAGCAUGGUUUAUCCAUCUUGAAUGACCCCAAGAAGAGAUCUAGUCUCGGUCAUGAUGAAUGGACUCUUUACGAACAGGUGGCAAUUGCGGCUAUGGACUGCCAAUCUCUUGAUGUUGCAAAGGAUUGCAUUAAUGUGUUGCAGAAAAGAUUUCCAGAGAGCAAAAGAGUUGGCGGGCUGGAGGGGAUGUUACUCGAAGCAAAGGGAUCUUGGACAGAGGCAGAAAAGGCUUACUUAAGCUUGCUAGAGGAUAAUCCAUUGGAUCAGGUAAUACAUAAAAGGAGGGUUGCUUUGGCAAAGGCACAAGGCAAAGUGUCAGAAGCUAUUGAAUUUCUCAACAAAUAUCUAGAAAUAUUUAUGGCAGAUUCUGAUGCCUGGAGAGAACUUGCUGAGAUAUAUGUUUCCUUACAGAUGUACAAGCAAGCAGCUUUCUGCUAUGAGGAGUUAAUACUAUCUCAGCCUACAGUCCCACUAUAUCAUUUAGCCUAUGCUGAUAUGCUUUACACACUUGGUGGACUAGAAAACCUUCAGGCAGCAAAGAAAUAUUAUUCAUCAACAAUAGACUUGACUGGGGGCAAGAACACCAGAGCGCUUUUUGGUAUUUGUUUGUGUACAUCUGCCAUCGCACAACUUACAAAAGGGCGAAACAAGGAAGAAAAGGAUAGUCCAGACCUGCAAUCUCUUGCAACAGCAGCCUUGGAAAAAGACUACAAGCAAAGAGCUUCCGACAAGGUUUCUGUGCUUGGUUCGGCAUUGAAAAGCUUGAAAGUUUCAUCCUAACUUCUUCGCCAUUGAAUCAAGCUUUCUAUUGUUGGCCCAGAUGCCAGGAUCUUCAUCACAUCCUAAACAGAAAGCUGGAAAUCUACUAAUGUUUUAGAUUUUAAGUUAUGAUUUGCUUGAACUGUUCUAGAAUUCUCCAUUGAGCAGACUAGGAACAUUUUGAGAGAAAUGUUUUUCUCCUUU
Molecule: unclassified non-coding RNA, 1242 nt
Filed under: Hevea brasiliensis (rubber tree)
Lineage: Eukaryota; Viridiplantae; Streptophyta; Magnoliopsida; Malpighiales; Euphorbiaceae
Source: RNAcentral